GAUGAACCACCUUCGGGUGGGGAUUAGUGGCGAACGGGUGAGUAACACGUGGGCAAUCUGCCCUGCACUCUGGGACAAGCCCUGGAAACGGGGUCUAAUACCGGAUAUGAGCUUCCACCGCAUGGUGGGGGCUGUAAAGCUCCGGCGGUGCAGGAUGAGCCCGCGGCCUAUCAGCUUGUUGGUGAGGUAACGGCUCACCAAGGCGACGACGGGUAGCCGGCCUGAGAGGGCGACCGGCCACACUGGGACUGAGACACGGCCCAGACUCCUACGGGAGGCAGCAGUGGGGAAUAUUGCACAAUGGGCGCAAGCCUGAUGCAGCGACGCCGCGUGAGGGAUGACGGCCUUCGGGUUGUAAACCUCUUUCAGCAGGGAAGAAGCGAAAGUGACGGUACCUGCAGAAGAAGCGCCGGCUAACUACGUGCCAGCAGCCGCGGUAAUACGUAGGGCGCGAGCGUUGUCCGGAAUUAUUGGGCGUAAAGAGCUCGUAGGCGGCUUGUCGCGUCGGUUGUGAAAGCCCGGGGCUUAACCCCGGGUCUGCAGUCGAUACGGGCAGGCUAGAGUUCGGUAGGGGAGAUCGGAAUUCCUGGUGUAGCGGUGAAAUGCGCAGAUAUCAGGAGGAACACCGGUGGCGAAGGCGGAUCUCUGGGCCGAUACUGACGCUGAGGAGCGAAAGCGUGGGGAGCGAACAGGAUUAGAUACCCUGGUAGUCCACGCCGUAAACGGUGGGCACUAGGUGUGGGCAACA
Molecule: ribosomal RNA, 748 nt
Filed under: Streptomyces sp.
Lineage: Bacteria; Bacillati; Actinomycetota; Actinomycetes; Kitasatosporales; Streptomycetaceae
Description: bacterial SSU rRNA
Rfam family: Bacterial small subunit ribosomal RNA
Source: RNAcentral